This 67-nucleotide transfer RNA is filed under the name Goniada japonica. RNAcentral's name for it is "tRNA-Ser". Lineage: Eukaryota; Metazoa; Annelida; Polychaeta; Phyllodocida; Goniadidae. The record is from RNAcentral.
GGUUUAUUGUUUUGGAAACACAUGACUUUGAAAGUCAUCAAAAGACGUUCGAUUCGUCUAUUUACCU